Molecule: ribosomal RNA, 525 nt
Filed under: uncultured bacterium
Lineage: Bacteria
Description: bacterial SSU rRNA
Rfam family: Bacterial small subunit ribosomal RNA
Source: RNAcentral
AAUAGAUACCCGGGUAGUCCACGCCGUAAACGAUGAGUGCUAAGUGUUAGAGGGUUUCCGCCCUUUAGUGCUGCAGCAAACGCAUUAAGCACUCCGCCUGGGGAGUACGGCCGCAAGGCUGAAACUCAAAGGAAUUGACGGGGGGCCCGCACAAGCGGUGGAGCAUGUGGUUUAAUCGUAAGCAACGCGAAGAACCUUACCAGGUCUUGACAUCCUCUGACACUCCUAGAGAUAGGACGUUCCCCUUCCGGGGGACGAGAGUGACAGGUGGUGCAUGGUUGUCGUCAGCUCGUGUCGUGAGAUGUUGGGUUAAGUCCCGCAACGAGCGCAACCCUUGAUCUUAGUUGCCAGCAUUCAGUUGGGCACUCUAAGGUGACUGCCGGUGACAAACCGGAGGAAGGUGGGGAUGACGUCAAAUCAUCAUGCCCCUUAUGACCUGGGCUACACACGUGCUACAAUGGAUGGUACAAAGGGCAGCAAAACCGCGAGGUCGAGCAAAUCCCAUAAAACCAUUCUCAGUUCGGA